This 273-nucleotide ribosomal RNA is filed under the name uncultured bacterium. Its description in RNAcentral is "partial 16S ribosomal RNA". It matches the Rfam family "Bacterial small subunit ribosomal RNA", at positions 524 to 796 of the family's 1533-position model. The record is from RNAcentral.
GACGUACUGCGCGAACGUUAUUCGGAAUCACUGGGCUUAAAGGGUGCGCAGGCGGCUCGUCAAGCCCGUGGUGAAAGGUCCCGGCCUAACCGGGGACGGUCUUCGGGGACUGACGAGCUCGGGCGAGCUAGGGGUCUGUGGAACUCCCGGUGGAGCGGUGAAAUGUGUUGAGAUCGGGAGGAACGCCGGUGGCGAAAGCGACAGACUGGGGCUUGGCCGACGCUCAGGCACGAAAGCCAGGGGAGCGAACGGGAUUAGAAACCCCCGUAGUCC